RNAcentral lists this ribosomal RNA (250 nucleotides) under uncultured Clostridia bacterium. Its description in RNAcentral is "partial 16S ribosomal RNA". It matches the Rfam family "Bacterial small subunit ribosomal RNA", at positions 88 to 339 of the family's 1533-position model. The record is from RNAcentral. Lineage: Bacteria; Bacillati; Bacillota; Clostridia.
UGACUUAGUGGCGGACGGGUGAGUAACGCGUGGGCAACCUGCCUUUCACAGCGGGAUAACAGAGGGAAGCUUCUGCUAAUACCGCAUAUACCUUUUUAACGCAUGUUAGGGAGGGGAAAGAGCUAUCGGUGAGAGAUGGGCCCGCGUCCGAUUAGAUAGUUGGUGGGGUAACAGCCUACCAAGUCGACGAUCGGUAGCCGGCUUGAGAGAGUGAACGGCCACAUUGGGACUGAGACACGGCCCAAACUCC